Molecule: ribosomal RNA, 468 nt
Filed under: uncultured bacterium
Lineage: Bacteria
Description: partial 16S ribosomal RNA
Rfam family: Bacterial small subunit ribosomal RNA
Source: RNAcentral
GACGAACGCUGGCGGCGUGCUUAACACAUGCAAGUGGAACGGAAAGGCCCUGCUUUUGUGGGGUGCUCGAGUGGCGAACGGGUGAGUAACACGUGAGUAACCUGCCCUUGACUUUGGGAUAACUUCAGGAAACUGGGGCUAAUACCGGAUAGGAGCUCCUGCUGCAUGGUGGGGGUUGGAAAGUUUCGGCGGUUGGGGAUGGACUCGCGGCUUAUCAGCUUGUUGGUGGGGUAGUGGCUUACCAAGGCUUUGACGGGUAGCCGGCCUGAGAGGGUGACCGGCAACAUUGGGACUGAGAUACGGCCCAGACUCCUACGGGAGGCAGCAGUGGGGAAUAUUGCACAAUGGGCGGAAGCCUGAUGCAGCAACGCCGCGUGCGGGAUGACGGCCUUCGGGUUGUAAACCGCUUUCGCCUGUGACGAAGCGUGAGUGACGGUAAUGGGUAAAGAAGCACCGGCUAACUACGUG